UGAUUUCUCUGCACAUCGUUUCUGCA
Molecule: non-coding RNA, 26 nt
Filed under: Mus musculus (house mouse)
Lineage: Eukaryota; Metazoa; Chordata; Mammalia; Rodentia; Muridae
Source: RNAcentral